UUGACACUAAGGGCGGAGUGACAUAAUUUCAGGAGUGAGGGUUAGGGAGAGGUUUCCCCCUCACCCUGGUGUUCUUAGUAAGCCUGGAAGCUAAUCACUAAGAGUAUCACCAGUAUGAUGACGUGCUUCAUCAUAACCCUUUCCUUAUU
This 149-nucleotide small RNA is filed under the name Escherichia coli. RNAcentral describes it as "QUAD RNA". It matches the Rfam family "Short Intergenic Abundant RNA". Rfam says of the family: This family contains multiple ncRNA from E. coli that were identified in a large scale screen of E. coli, were they were called candidates 43,55 and 61. These RNAs have also been identified by other groups and called QUAD RNAs. The record is from RNAcentral. Lineage: Bacteria; Pseudomonadati; Pseudomonadota; Gammaproteobacteria; Enterobacterales; Enterobacteriaceae.